RNAcentral lists this ribosomal RNA (204 nucleotides) under uncultured bacterium. RNAcentral's name for it is "partial 16S ribosomal RNA". It matches the Rfam family "Bacterial small subunit ribosomal RNA", at positions 568 to 774 of the family's 1533-position model. The record is from RNAcentral.
UGCGUAGGCGGCGCGGUAAGUCGGGUGUGAAAUCUCGGAGCUUAACUCCGAAACUGCAUUCGAUACUGCCGUGCUUGAGGACUGGAGAGGAGACUGGAAUUUACGGUGUAGCGGUGAAAUGCGUAGAUAUCGUAAGGAAGACCAGUGGCGAAGGCGGGUCUCUGGACAGUUCCUGACGCUGAGGCACGAAGGUGGAGGCAAACG